Molecule: ribosomal RNA, 482 nt
Filed under: uncultured bacterium
Lineage: Bacteria
Description: partial 16S ribosomal RNA
Rfam family: Bacterial small subunit ribosomal RNA
Source: RNAcentral
AUUGAACGCUGGCGGCAGGCCUAACACAUGCAAGUCGAGCGGAUGAAGGGAGCUUGCUCCUGGAUUCAGCGGCGGACGGGUGAGUAAUGCCUAGGAAUCUGCCUGGUAGUGGGGGAUAACGUCCGGAAACGGGCGCUAAUACCGCAUACGUCCUGAGGGAGAAAGUGGGGGAUCUUCGGACCUCACGCUAUCAGAUGAGCCUAGGUCGGACUAGCUAGUUGGUGGGGUAAAGGCCUACCAAGGCGACGAUCCGUAACUGGUCUGAGAGGAUGAUCAGUCACACUGGAACUGAGACACGGUCCAGACUCCUACGGGAGGCAGCAGUGGGGAAUAUUGGACAAUGGGCGAAAGCCUGAUCCAGCCAUGCCGCGUGUGUGAAGAAGGUCUUCGGAUUGUAAAGCACUUUAAGUUGGGAGGAAGGGCAGUAAGUUAAUACCUUGCUGUUUUGACGUUACCAACAGAAUAAGCACCGGCUAACUUCG